GAUGAAGAACGCAGCGAAAUGCGAUACGUAAUGUGAAUUGCAGAAUUCAGUGAAUCAUCGAAUCUUUGAACGCAUAUUGCGCUCUCUGGUAUUCCGGAGAGCAUGCUUGUUUGAGUAUCAGUAAACACCUCAACUUCCAUAUCUUUUUUGAAAUGGGAGUUGGACUUGAGUGAUCCCAACGCUUUUCCUCACCGAAAAGUGGCGGGUUACUUGAAAUGCAGGUGCAGCUGGACUUUUCUCUGAGCUAUAAGCAUAUCUAUUUAGUCUGCCUAAAAAACAGAUUAUUACCUUUGCUGCAGCUAACAUAAAGGAGAUUAGUUCUUGUGCUGGCUGAUGCAGGAUUCACAAAGACAGGCUUCGGCCGACUUUGUAAACUCGAUCUCAAAUCAAGUAAGACUACCCGCUGAACUUAAGCAUAUCAAUAAGCGGAGGA
Molecule: unclassified non-coding RNA, 433 nt
Filed under: soil metagenome
Description: partial contains 5.8S ribosomal RNA, internal transcribed spacer 2, and large subunit ribosomal RNA
Rfam family: 5.8S ribosomal RNA (bases 1-120)
Source: RNAcentral